AUGUUUGCAUUGAGCUAAGAUUGCAGGCGCGUGAACUGUUCACACCACCAAAAAUGCAGUAUCUUUAGCCAAAUCUGAAUUAAUCUGUUCAGAAUGAACAAGCAGAAUAGUCUUUGGAUUUGAUCCAAAUCCCUGAAGCACUUUGGGAAUGAGAAUGGCUAUGCCAGACAGAGAGACCCUGGCGACUUAUGAUACUGCAGAACACAACAGGCACUUCAGAUUGGUCCCAGUUAAGUUGAGGGAGAGCAGUGAUAUUGAGCAGUCAGCUAAAGAAACAAAGCUGUAGAGAAUUGUGACUCCAAAGGCAAAGAAGGAAGUGCUCCUAAUUUGAACUAAUCUAAUAGUCACAUGGAGGAUUCUGACUGGCCCAUGUGGGGCCUUGUGCUCAUGUUCUAAGGAAUCAUUGUUGCUUGAAGCAUGGACAACUCUGGCCUGACAUGGUCCCUGGCUCGUACCUGUGACAGGACACUGAGGCAAAAGAAAGCAGUAUAGAGAUUUAUUCUCCCACUGGCAUGAAAGCUGUGAUUCUGACCACCUUCUACAUCACUGUCUACCACCCCUACACCAGCUCUUAGAAGACAGAGUAACUACAGGAUGCUGUGGUACCUGGAGUGAUGCCAGACUGCAGAGGCCACCUGGUGACAUGAGGAGAGAUUCAACUUAACAUGGUGAGGAUGGCAGAGUAGAGCUAAAGUGGAAAAAGCAUUUCCCUGAUGAAUUUAAGAAGCUACUGAAUAAAUAUGUCUGGAAGUACCUAA
This 758-nucleotide long non-coding RNA is filed under the name Homo sapiens (human). Its description in RNAcentral is "RSG2 antisense RNA 1". Lineage: Eukaryota; Metazoa; Chordata; Mammalia; Primates; Hominidae. The record is from RNAcentral.